This 85-nucleotide transfer RNA is filed under the name Felis catus (domestic cat). It matches the Rfam family "tRNA". Rfam says of the family: Transfer RNA (tRNA) molecules are approximately 80 nucleotides in length. Their secondary structure includes four short double-helical elements and three loops (D, anti-codon, and T loops). The record is from Rfam by way of RNAcentral. Lineage: Eukaryota; Metazoa; Chordata; Mammalia; Carnivora; Felidae.
ACCUGAGUGGCUCAGUCGGUUGAGCGCCUGACUUCAGCUCAGGUCAUGAUCUCACAUUUUGUGGGUUCAAGCCCCACCCCAGGCU